RNAcentral lists this long non-coding RNA (1071 nucleotides) under Arabidopsis lyrata. RNAcentral describes it as "long non-coding RNA (ALYR_LNC000897)". Lineage: Eukaryota; Viridiplantae; Streptophyta; Magnoliopsida; Brassicales; Brassicaceae. The record is from RNAcentral.
GAAUAUGUGAAAUAAAAUUUUAAACAUCUACAAAAAAAUACAUCUAUAUUUUAAGUUCUAUCAAAAUAAAUUAAAGUGGUUACAUAGAAAAUACAUUGAUUAUAACUUAUCACGACACUCUCACUAGGAGGUCCCCAAGCGAAUCGACAUGAGAGCUAGCAUUUGACACCCCAUCACGUAUAUAAGGAUGCUAAUCGCGUUGAAUCUACUAGAUCACUUACAUUUUCCGAAAGACCGACAAAAUGUGCCAAACCCUACUUUAAGACCCAGUAACCCGAUAGAUAGAGGAAAAUAUAAACUAUAUAAAUACUACUCUAAACAGGGCCGGCCUAAACUAUUUGAGUGCCUAAAGCAAAAAAAAUUUGGCCCAUUAGCAAAAGCUGUUAUAAAAAAAAAAUACAAGUUUUAACAUGUAUGGGAUUUGAAACCAUGACCUGUACAACAAAAAACUUCAAUCUAACCACUAGACCACAGUAACAUUUUAAAAAUUGAUGCCCCUAAAACUACUUAUAAUUAUUUGAUGCCUAAAGCCCUUGCUUCAUAGACUUUACCCAUGGGCCGGCCUUGACUCUAAACUAAACAUACCAUGAGAUAUUAAUCCGAGUAAAACAUCUGAAAAUAAGAGAAAGGAAUACGGAUAACAAACUUGACCACUAGAAACACUAAAGCAAACGUUGAAUUAUUCCCCGGGGUUCCUCUCUUAGAACAACCGCGCUUUGGAGGAUAUAAUUCGCAAAACACUAAUAUAUAAUUUUGAGUGGUUUUUCUAUCAUAAAAUGUAUAUUUUUCAUCGGCGGUUCUUUAAUGAUCUUCGGAAACAAGUUGCAGAUACCUAAAAUUCUGCAUGAACAAUAUGAAUUAUACGUGUACUAUUUGUUUUGCAUAGACAGAGACUAGAGUAUUCGAAUGUUGGACCUAAAAAAAAGAAGAGUAUUGGAAUCAUUUUAAACGGCUAUGAUAAUAUAAUAAUAUAACUUUUAUUGUAAUAAACAAAUGUGCAAACCUCGACUCCAUUAAAAAGACAAACAACGUUAAGAAAAGAAAUAAGAACAUUAAUGUGAAAAAGGACAG